GAAAUGCGAUAAGUAAUGUGAAUUGCAGAAUUCAGUGAAUCAUCGAAUCUUUGAACGCACCUUGCGCUCCUUGGUAUUCCGAGGAGCAUGCCUGUUCGAGUGUCAUGGAAUUCUCAACUCUAUUUGCUUUUGUGAAUAGAGCUUGGAUUUGGAGGUUUAUUGCUGGUACUUGUGAUCGGCUCCUCUUGAAUGCAUUAGCUCGAACCUUUGCGGAUCAGCUAUCGGUGUGAUAAUUGUCUACGCCGUUGCAGUGAAGCAUAUCAAUGGGCUCGGCUUCCAAUCGUCCUUUACUGGACAAUGACUUUGACCUUUGACCUCAAAUCAGGUAGGAUUACCCGCUGAACUUAAGC
Molecule: unclassified non-coding RNA, 350 nt
Filed under: plant metagenome
Description: partial contains 5.8S ribosomal RNA, internal transcribed spacer 2, and large subunit ribosomal RNA
Rfam family: 5.8S ribosomal RNA (bases 1-105)
Source: RNAcentral